Molecule: non-coding RNA, 26 nt
Filed under: Mus musculus (house mouse)
Lineage: Eukaryota; Metazoa; Chordata; Mammalia; Rodentia; Muridae
Source: RNAcentral
UGGUUGGCCAGGAGUUAAAGACUUGU